GCGGGGGUGCCCGAGCCAGGACAAAGGGGACGGGUACUCCUCCCGUUGGCGAAGGCCUGCGUGGGUUCGAAUCCCACCCCCCGCACCA
This 88-nucleotide transfer RNA is filed under the name Vulcanisaeta sp. EB80. RNAcentral's name for it is "tRNA-Glu". It matches the Rfam family "tRNA". From Rfam's summary of the family: Transfer RNA (tRNA) molecules are approximately 80 nucleotides in length. Their secondary structure includes four short double-helical elements and three loops (D, anti-codon, and T loops). Lineage: Archaea; Thermoproteati; Thermoproteota; Thermoprotei; Thermoproteales; Thermoproteaceae. The record is from RNAcentral.